RNAcentral lists this ribosomal RNA (253 nucleotides) under uncultured bacterium. RNAcentral describes it as "partial 16S ribosomal RNA". It matches the Rfam family "Bacterial small subunit ribosomal RNA", at positions 524 to 776 of the family's 1533-position model. The record is from RNAcentral.
UACGAAGGAGGCUAGAGUUGUUCGGAAUUACUGGGCGUAAAGCGCACGUAGGCGGAUUGCUAAGUCAGUGGUGAAAUCCAGGGGCUCAACCACGGAAAUGCCUUUGAUACUGGCAAUCUCGAGUCCGGAAGAGGUGAGUGGAAUUCCUAGUGUAGAGGUGAAAUUCGUAGAUAUUAGGAAGAACACCAGUGGCGAAGGCGGCUCACUGGUCCGGUACUGACGCUGAGGUGCGAAAGCGUGGGGAGCAAACAGG